GGUUACACGCUCAUACUGGGACCCACGCGAGGGAGCUGCUUUCCUCGCGCCACGCGCGUCGCACGCUAUAAAAGCCUCUCCAACCUUUUCUUCGCUGUUCCUAUAGCAUUCAUUCCGAAACUGCUCGAACGAAGAGACCGCCCACAGCUUCCUCACCCACCCUCUCUCACCAGACUUCAAUACCGUUUUCUUAAUUCCGAUUUCUCUUCUUCGAUUCUUUGAAUCUCACGUUUCUACCAAUUCUUCGUCUGAAUCUCUUGCAUCACUACCAUUGCCGGAGGCGGCAGAGUCGGAGCGGAAGAUCAUGGUCGUGAGGAGGUUUAGUGCAAGAAGAGGAUGGUAAGGUGUUUCAGCUUGGGUUAUGUUCUGGUUCUAGCGGCUCUGGCUGCGUCCAUGGUGCUUCUGCCGUUGAUGUUGCCGCCACUACCUCCGCCGCCGUUGGUGCUGCUCUUCUUCCCUGUUGGCAUCAUGGCAGCGCUCAUGCUUUUGGCCUUCUCGCCUUCCGAGGCGAAUCGGAACGCCGUCGCUUACUCGGCGUAGGAAGGACGGAGCGGAGGAGCUCGGAGCGCACGUGGUCGCCGCCCGCAUUUUGCUGUUAUUCACGUGAGUGGAAGGUUCGCGAUCGGUUGCUUCUGAUCGGCUUCGUCGUGGCUUUCAUGAGAAAACAGGAACGGUAAAGCCUUUCUUACGGACUCUUUGAACAUCUGAUGAAGGAUUCACUCUCUCUUUCUGAGGCUCUGUACAAAUAAUUACACAUACUUCGUCAAUCAUGUGCUUGCUGUUCUAUAUCAGACUUGAGACUUUAGAGUUUCGUUCUUUCUUUCUUUCAAGUAAAAUAAUGAAAAAGAUUUUCUAGUAGCAGAGCCGCCUGUUGAAAAAUGAACACAAAUUCACCCAAAAGACCAAGCACAGAAGAUCUCUGGAAAACGGAUCCCCCAGCUACAGAGUACUGUCAAACAAGUCGGCCUGUGAUGAACUACUUGACUAAUCAUGCAACUUCAGAUUUGAAUCCGGAUUGUCUGCCAUUAAAGCUUCACUGUAGCAUAUUAAUCAAUAGGGGAAAAAAUAGUAUGCUUACCAUGCAUUCACUGGGAAAAGGAUAAAUAUCAAGAGAAUAAAUCACACACACUACUCCACCUCCCUCCUCACACACACAUCUGGAAUCACAUUACCAUACCCCCCGGGGGGGGGUGUUAGAUUCAAUUGGUUGAGAGAGUUAAAUCAAUUUAUCUUAGAAUCUCAAAUUCAAGUCUCAAGGUAUGCAAUUAUGCUAAAUAAAUACAUUGAAGGCA
Long non-coding RNA from Prosopis cineraria, 1292 nucleotides. RefSeq lists it as uncharacterized. NCBI's taxonomy places the organism in Eukaryota, Viridiplantae, Streptophyta, Magnoliopsida, Fabales, Fabaceae. The record is from RefSeq and is a predicted model, not a curated record. The transcript is spliced from 2 exons.